UCCGAUACGAACGAGACUCUGGCCUAUUAAACUUGACGCUGUCAGUCUCUUGUGACUGCUGCGCGCUUCUUAGAGGGAUCAUCGGCGUCCCAGCCGAAAGAAAGGGAGCAAUAACAGGUCUGUGAUGCCCUUAGAUGUUCUGGGCUGCACGCGUGUUACACUGAAGUGGUCAGCGCGCCGUUCAACGUCCCUCUCCGUGAGGAGCGGGCAAACGUUUGAACCCUUUUCGUGAUGGGAAUUGGGGGUUGCAAUUGUCCCCCAUGAACGAGGAAUUCCAAGUAAGCGCAGGUCACUAGCCUGCGUUGAUUAAGUCCCUGCCCUUUGUA
RNAcentral lists this ribosomal RNA (326 nucleotides) under Bathylasma corolliforme. RNAcentral describes it as "SSU rRNA". It matches the Rfam family "Eukaryotic small subunit ribosomal RNA", at positions 1324 to 1664 of the family's 1831-position model. The record is from RNAcentral. Lineage: Eukaryota; Metazoa; Arthropoda; Thecostraca; Balanomorpha; Bathylasmatidae.